Megalobrama amblycephala (Wuchang bream) is the source of this 832-nucleotide long non-coding RNA. RefSeq lists it as uncharacterized. The record is from RefSeq and is a predicted model, not a curated record. Lineage: Eukaryota; Metazoa; Chordata; Actinopteri; Cypriniformes; Xenocyprididae. The transcript is spliced from 3 exons.
UUUGAUUCAACUGCUUCAGUGUUUCAUGAAGCCUCGAUCUGCCCAUCACUAGCUGUAUGUCCUACGCCUUCCCUAUUCUAUUUACGCAAAAAAAAAAAAAAUGAACUGGCGCCGCGUUCAUUCUGCAAGUGUUACAGUUUCAGUUGCAGCAGAGAAGAUUCAGAAUCGGACAUCAGUAAAUCAAGGUUUAUUUAACGAAGGAACAGAACAACUAAACAAUAAAGCCAACAUAAGAACAGACAAGGAGUGCAGGGAAGUGAGUCCAUAAUAAAGGGAAUGCUAAUGAUGAAGUCCAGGUGCAAGUAAUCCAUGAAGAGCGGAAGAGAUGAUGAGGAAGUGAGUGCAGGUGUGGAACAGGGAGGAUUGUGGGGAAUAAGGAAAAUAAUCCUGGAAUGUUUUCAUCAAAAACCUUGAUUUCUUUUUGACUGAAGAAAGAAGGACAUGGACAUCUUGGAUAACAUGAGGUGAAAAUUGUCAAAAAAAACAAACAAAAAACAGAGCAUUUGGAAUAUAUCAGCACUAUCACAAAUGUGAGGAAAAUUGGAAAAUAGUUGCCAUGCUCCCUGUCAAAGCCAGUCCAGUUCUUGUCAUGUAUCUAGCCAAAGUCAGCACUGAGAUUGGCUGCGUCAGGUUCACCAGAUGUUGACUACCAGCUCCCUGUCUCAGUCCAUCCAUGAAAACUCAAUAACUUCUAUGUACAACAUUUUUGUAGUCUUUUGAUACAAUGCAUUUAUUUUGUACAUACAUGUUUUUUAUAUUUUAUUACUUAUUUAUAUGUAUGAAUCUACAUAUAUAUGUGUGUAUAAAUAAUAAAACAAACAAAAAAAUAACA